This 925-nucleotide long non-coding RNA is filed under the name Phoenix dactylifera (date palm). RNAcentral's name for it is "long non-coding RNA (PDAC_LNC000133)". Lineage: Eukaryota; Viridiplantae; Streptophyta; Magnoliopsida; Arecales; Arecaceae. The record is from RNAcentral.
UUUUCUCUCCGAUCGAGCCCUACGAGCCUGAUUUCAACUCCUUUUUCUUCUUCAGCGCCGACUGACCGACCCCAAUCCCCCCACCACAAGCCUUAUAAUCCUGAUUUCAGCCUCCUUUUUCUCACCAGUUGAGCCCUACGAUCCUGAUUUCAGCCCUCUUUUUCUCUCCGGCGCCGACCGACUGACCCCAAUCGCAUGAUUGAGCUCUACCUCUGCCCGUCGCAGGUUUGUUUCUCCUCCUCCCCCAUCUUUGGUACUUCCUUCUCCUUAGCUUUAGCUCUUGCCCUCUCCUUCUCUUCUUCUUUUGCUAUUCUAUUUUUUUCAAGAGAGAAGAAUAUAUAUUAGCUCCAAUCUAAGUAUUCGAUUCUUAUAUUAUUUUUAGCUCUUCUACACCUGUUAUUUUAUUUGUGGUCAUGUCGUCAUGAACAAUAAUAGACUGGUCUUUUGCAUGAAGUUGUAGUUGUUUACGAGAAACAAUUUGGCUCACCACCAAUGGCAAGCAUAGCUACGCAGAGAUGAUGAUGCCAGCCUGAUGUUUUUUUCAUGAAUUUUUGUAGAUAUCUAAGGAAAAGAAGAUUGAUUGUUGGAAAAGAUUGGAGUUUCCAUUAAUAGUCUUUUUGAUUAAAAGAUGAUAUCUCCUAAUUGGAUCCAAUGUAGGAGCUAAGACCAAAUAAUAUAAUAAAGGUCGAAUAUAUAUUUAGCACAUAGUUUACGAUCGAUGCUUUGCAAGGCUAGAAGACAUGUUAUCUACGAUAUUAUCUGCAUCCUGAACUAUUAGAUUUCAAUUUGAGUGCCAAGGAUUUUCACUACAACACAAGUAAGAGAAAUUAAAAAAAAAAACCUUGAACACAAAGUACUCGACAUCUCAUUGUUUUCUUUGUUCGAUAAUGCUUAACAAAUCUACAGAUGGAAGAAUGAACUGCUA